Molecule: long non-coding RNA, 657 nt
Organism: Sebastes umbrosus (honeycomb rockfish)
Lineage: Eukaryota; Metazoa; Chordata; Actinopteri; Perciformes; Sebastidae
Exons: 3
Source: RefSeq, a predicted model, not a curated record
AAAAGAGAAGAUGAGAGAGGAAGAGGAGGAGGAGGAGGCUGCUGGGCUUUUCUCACAUUAACGGACCGGUUCGGGUUCUAGUUCUGCAGCGCUGCAACACAGAGGAACCUUAAAGAGGCUCUGACCCAGAUGUUCUGAGUGUUUCCUGCAGGGGGGAAAUAACCAUCUGCCAGGAUGAGAGUCUGGACACUGAGGACUCUGUGUUGACCCCGAGCGGCAGCUUCCACUGCUGAGAGAGGAAGCCAACGCAGAAGUGCCAAAAAGUUCUUCAAAUGUCCACUUGAGGCUGACUAACUCUAAGAAGCAGAUAACCUGCUGGUUCGACAUUUCUCACCUCCCUGCUGUGCCAUGCCAACUGCACACACUGUAAACAAUCUCUGUUAAUUUACAGCAGGCUUUCAACAGUAUUAACCUGUUAUUGCUAAAAACAGUGCUUUGCUGUUAAUACAAAAGAAAACCUGUUAAAUUAAUUAUAUUAUAAUUAUAAUGCAUUCUUAAAAAACAGCACUUUCCUGCUGAUCAGCUGUCUAAAGUCUCAUCAGUAACAGCUUCAUGCAGUAGUUGUUGAGUUCUGGGACCUGAUCUGCUCAUGUGAGGCUUGUUCAUUGUACAUGAUUGUAAAAUAUAAUAAUAAUAAUAUAUAAUAUAUAUAAUAUA